AUACGGAGGAUGCGAGCGUUAUCCGGAUUUAUUGGGUUUAAAGGGAGCGUAGGCGGGAGCUUAAGUCAGCGGUUAAAUGGUGCGGCUCAACCGUGCCCUGCCGUUGAAACUGGGUUUCUUGAGAGUGCAAGAGGCGGAUGGAAUUCAUGGUGUAGCGGUGGAAUGCUUAGAUAUCAUGAAGAACUCCGAUUGCGAAGGCAGUCCGCUGGGGCACGUCUGACGCUGAUGCUCGAAGGUGCGGGAAUCAAACAGGAUUAGAUACCCUGGUAGUCCGCACGGUAAACGAUGAUUACCCGGUGUCGGCGGUAGACAGUCGGCGGCCAAGCGAAAGCGAUAAGUAAUCCACCUGGGGAGUACGCCUGCAACGGUGAAACUCAAAUGAAUUGACGGGG
This 392-nucleotide ribosomal RNA is filed under the name uncultured bacterium. RNAcentral's name for it is "partial 16S ribosomal RNA". It matches the Rfam family "Bacterial small subunit ribosomal RNA", at positions 523 to 918 of the family's 1533-position model. The record is from RNAcentral.